This 87-nucleotide small RNA is filed under the name Salmonella enterica. RNAcentral describes it as "partial RtT sRNA". It matches the Rfam family "RtT RNA", at positions 46 to 130 of the family's 130-position model. From Rfam's summary of the family: This family represents a bacterial cis-regulatory element known as RtT RNA. The exact function of RtT is unknown although it is thought that it may be involved in changing the cellular response in relation to amino acid starvation. The record is from RNAcentral. Lineage: Bacteria; Pseudomonadati; Pseudomonadota; Gammaproteobacteria; Enterobacterales; Enterobacteriaceae. RNAcentral also lists the same sequence under 5 other names.
AAACGAGAAUAAAACGUGAAGGAUAACGUUGCGUCAGCAACGGCCCGUAGGGCGAGGCGAAGCCGAGUCAUCCUGCACGACCCACCA